ACCGGUGCCUAUUACGGUGAGGAUCCACCUGUUCCCAUUCCGAACACAGAAGUUAAGCUCACUCGUGCCGACAAUACUUGGCGGGCAGCUGCCUGGGAAGAUAGGUUGACGCCGGUA
RNAcentral lists this ribosomal RNA (117 nucleotides) under Clostridiaceae bacterium. The record is from RNAcentral. Lineage: Bacteria; Bacillati; Bacillota; Clostridia; Eubacteriales; Clostridiaceae.